RNAcentral lists this ribosomal RNA (505 nucleotides) under uncultured bacterium. Its description in RNAcentral is "partial 16S ribosomal RNA". It matches the Rfam family "Bacterial small subunit ribosomal RNA", at positions 28 to 507 of the family's 1533-position model. The record is from RNAcentral.
GACGAACGCUGGCGGCGUGCCUAAUACAUGCAAGUAGAACGCACAGUUUAUACCGUAGCUUGCUACACCAUAGACUGUGAGUUGCGAACGGGUGAGUAACGCGUAGGUAACCUGCCUGGUAGCGGGGGAUAACUAUUGGAAACGAUAGCUAAUACCGCAUAAUAUUAAUUAUUGCAUGAUAAUUAAUUGAAAGGUGCAAUUGCACCACUACCAGAUGGACCUGCGUUGUAUUAGCUAGUAGGUGAGGUAACGGCUCACCUAGGCGACGAUACAUAGCCGAUCUGAGAGGGGGAUCGGCCACACUGGGACGGAGACACGGCCCAGACUCCUGCGGGAGGCAGCAGUAGGGAAUCUUCGGCAAUAGACGAAAGUCUGACCGAGCAACGCCGCGUGAGUGAAGAAGGUUUUCGGAUCGUAAAGCUCUGUUGUAAGAGAAGAACGGGUGUGAGAGUGGAAAGUUCACACUGUGACGGUAUCUUACCAGAAAGGGACGGCUAACUACGUG